RNAcentral lists this ribosomal RNA (419 nucleotides) under uncultured eukaryote. Its description in RNAcentral is "bacterial SSU rRNA". It matches the Rfam family "Eukaryotic small subunit ribosomal RNA", at positions 592 to 1018 of the family's 1831-position model. The record is from RNAcentral.
CAAUAGCGUAUAUUAAAGUUGUUGCGGUUAAAAAGCUCGUAGUUGGAUUUCUGUUGAGGACAGUCGGUCUACCUUCUGGGUAUGCAUCUGAUUUGGCCUUGGCAUCCUCUCGUUGUGUGCGUUCGCCUUGAUUGGUGUCGUAUGCUGCGGGACUUUUACUUUGAGGAAAUUAGAGUGUUCACGGCAGGCCUUCGCCCUGAAUAUAUUAGCAUGGAAUAAUAACAUAGGAUCUUGGCCCUAUUUUGUUGGUUUCUAGAGCUAGGAUAAUGAUUAAUAGGGACGGUUGGGAGUGGUGCUAUUGCCGCGUCAGAGGUGGAAUUCUUGGAUUGCGGCACGAGCAACUACUGCGAAAGCAUCUGCUAAAGACGUUUUCAUUGAUCAAGAACGAAAUAAGGGGAUCGAAGACGAUUAGAUACCGU